AGUCUAGUUUUGAAGCCAGUCAAAAAAAGAAAAAGAAAAAGAAAAAGACAAGGAAAAAGAAAAAGAAAAAGAAAAACAAAAAACGGAAACAUGUGCUGUGGACAGCGUUUGCUGACUCCCCUGCAUGAAUCUGCUGAAGGUGUGAAGAGAGCUCAUUGAUGGCAUUUGCAUGCAGAAGAAGAUGAAGAAAUCAUCACAUGAAAUUAGGGCAUGUCAAACAAUUUGGUUGCACACUUACUUACCUUUUCUGCCCAAAGCAGCUGUGUCUGCCCCUUUAAAAUGAUGAAAUAAAGGUGUUAAAGACUAAAAAUAAAACAGACUUUUCCACUUC
Molecule: long non-coding RNA, 331 nt
Organism: Thunnus maccoyii (southern bluefin tuna)
Lineage: Eukaryota; Metazoa; Chordata; Actinopteri; Scombriformes; Scombridae
Exons: 2
Source: RefSeq, a predicted model, not a curated record